CCUGUAGUACUAGUACUUAACA
Molecule: microRNA, 22 nt
Filed under: Strongylocentrotus purpuratus (purple sea urchin)
Lineage: Eukaryota; Metazoa; Echinodermata; Echinoidea; Camarodonta; Strongylocentrotidae
Description: Spu-Mir-252-P2_3p* (star (passenger))
Source: RNAcentral